AUGAGCCUGUCAAUGGGCGCGUGCCCCCACGCGUGGCGGCACCACCUACACCACCGCGGCCGCAUGUGGGCCGCCUCCCCGGCCUUCCGCAGGCAGCUCGUCCUGCUCCGCUCUCUCGCGCCCACCACCUGCGCAUACGGCGGCCGCGCCUCCUCGAGCUCUCUUCGUCCCCACGCGAUGUCGGCGGCGGCCGGGCCGGUGUACGAGGCGGACGCGGAGGCGGUGGUCCGGCGAAUCACGCCGCCGCUCGACCGCGCAAGGCACAAGGGUCAGGCAGGGAAGAUAGCAAUAAUUGGUGGAUGUCGCGAGUACACUGGUGCUCCUUAUUUUGCCGCUAUCUCUGCAUUGAAAGUUGGUGCAGAUCUCUCACAUGUUUUCUGCACAAAAGAUGCUGCAACAGUAAUCAAGAGCUAUAGCCCUGAGUUGAUUGUGCAUCCAAUAUUAGAGGAGUCCUACAGCGUAAGGGAUGAUGAAAGAGAAUCUGUUUCUUCUAGCAUUCUCACUGAAGUUAUAAAGUGGAUGGAGCGCUUUGAUUGCAUUGUUGUUGGCCCCGGCCUUGGAAGGGACUCAUUUCUUAUGGAUUGUAUCAGUAAUAUCAUGAGGCAUGCACGACAGGCUAAUAUCCCAACUGUUGUGGAUGGGGAUGGCCUUUUCCUUAUAACCAAUAACAUUGGUCUUGUUGAAGACAACUCACUUGCCAUCUUAACACCAAAUGUAUACGAGUACAAGCGUCUUGUGCAGAAGGUUCUUAACUGUGAAGUAAAUGAGGAAAAUGCUUCUGAGCAACUGACUGCACUUUGCCAAAAAAUUGGUGGUGUAACCAUCAUGAGGAAAGGAAAAGCAGAUGUAAUUAGUGACGGUAAAAAAGUCACACAAGUGAGUACCUUUGGUUCUCCAAGGCGAUGUGGUGGUCAAGGCGACAUUCUCUCUGGAAGCGUGGCAGUAUUUUCAUCAUGGGCACGGCACUUUCUCUUGUCAAAUAAGCAACCUAAAGAGACUAGUGUGAAUCCUAUGGUUCUUGGGUGCAUAGCUGGCUCUCUAUUGCUCAGAAAAGCUGCGGCGCUUGCAUUUGAGAAGAACAAGAGAUCAACUGUCACUACUGACAUCAUUGAGUUCUUGGGCCAAAGCUUGGAAGAUAUCUGCCCUGCUGGGUGGUAG
RNAcentral lists this ribosomal RNA (1158 nucleotides) under Triticum aestivum (bread wheat). RNAcentral describes it as "partial small subunit ribosomal RNA". The record is from RNAcentral. Lineage: Eukaryota; Viridiplantae; Streptophyta; Magnoliopsida; Poales; Poaceae.